This is a long non-coding RNA of Sinocyclocheilus anshuiensis, 350 nucleotides long. RefSeq lists it as uncharacterized. Lineage: Eukaryota; Metazoa; Chordata; Actinopteri; Cypriniformes; Cyprinidae. The transcript has 3 exons. The record is from RefSeq and is a predicted model, not a curated record.
UAGAGUUUCCAGUCUCUCUCAUCACCUCCUGAAUCUACAGAUGAUCCCAUCAUUCCCUUCAGUUCUCUCUUCUCUUUUGAUGGUGUGAGAGAAUCUGUCCGUCAGCUGAGAGACAAACGGGAGGAUUUCUGCAAAAAGGGCCUCAAAAAGAUCUCAGACAGAGUCACAUUCAACACCUUUGUUCCCUGGACCAGGAAUGACUUCCUACAAUAUUCACAUCAGCUCACUCUGGAUCUGAACACAGUGAAUAAACGCCUUUGUCUGGCUGCAAGGAACAGACUGAUUACGUAUACUGACAAAGUCCAGCCGUAUCCUGAUCAUCCUGACAGAUUCGAUGAAUAUAAUCCUCA